GCUGAUAUAAGCUCAGUCGGUAGAUUACACCCUUAGUAAAGGGUGAAGACACCAGUUCGACUCUGAGUAUUAGCACCA
This 78-nucleotide transfer RNA is filed under the name Vibrio toranzoniae. RNAcentral describes it as "tRNA-OTHER". Lineage: Bacteria; Pseudomonadati; Pseudomonadota; Gammaproteobacteria; Vibrionales; Vibrionaceae. The record is from RNAcentral. RNAcentral also lists the same sequence under 1 other name.